This 253-nucleotide ribosomal RNA is filed under the name uncultured bacterium. RNAcentral describes it as "partial 16S ribosomal RNA". It matches the Rfam family "Bacterial small subunit ribosomal RNA", at positions 524 to 776 of the family's 1533-position model. The record is from RNAcentral.
UACGUAGGGGGCAAGCGUUGUCCGGAUUCAUUGGGCGUAAAGAGCGUGUAGGCGGCCAGGUAGGUCGGUUGUGAAAACUGGAGGCUCAACCUUCAGAGGUCGACCGAAACCAUCUGGCUAGAGUCCGGGAGAGGAGAGUGGAAUUCCUGGUGUAGCGGUGAAAUGCGCAGAUAUCAGGAAGAACACCCGUGGCGAAGGCGGGUCUCUGGGCCGAUACUGACGCUGAGGAGCGAAAGCAUGGGUAGCGAACAGG